UGGGGAAUAUUGCACAAUGGAGGGAACUCUGAUGCAGCGACGCCGCGUGAACGAAGAAGGCUUUCGAGUCGUAAAGUUCUUUUAUAUGGGAAGAUCAUGACGGUACCAUAAGAAGAAGCCCCGGCUAACUACGUGCCAGCAGCCGCGGUAAUACGUAGGGGGCUAGCGUUGUCCGGAAUCACUGGGCGUAAAGGGUUCGCAGGCGGAAAUGCAAGUCAGGUGUAAAAGGCAGUAGCUUAACUACUGUAAGCAUUUGAAACUGCAUAUCUUGAGAAGAGUAGAGGUAAGUGGAAUUUUUAGUGUAGCGGUGAAAUGCGUAGAUAUUAAAAAGAAUACCGGUGGCGAAGGCGACUUACUGGGCUCAUUCUGACGCUGAGGAACGAAAGCGUGGGUAGCAAACAGG
RNAcentral lists this ribosomal RNA (403 nucleotides) under bacterium. RNAcentral describes it as "partial 16S ribosomal RNA". It matches the Rfam family "Bacterial small subunit ribosomal RNA", at positions 355 to 776 of the family's 1533-position model. The record is from RNAcentral.